CCUACGGGUGACAGCAGUGAGGAAUAUUGGUCAAUGGACGAGCGUCUGAACCAGCCAAGUAGCGUGAAGGAUGACUGCCCUAUGGGUUGUAAACUUCUUUUAUAUGGGAAUAAAAUGUUCCACGUGUGGGAUUUUGUAUGUACCAUAUGAAUAAGGAUCGGCUAACUCCGUGCCAGCAGCCGCGGUAAUACGGAGGAUCCGAGCGUUAUCCGGAUUUAUUGGGUUUAAAGGGAGCGUAGGUGGAUUGUUAAGUCAGUUGUGAAAGUUUGCGGCUCAACCGUAAAAUGGCAGUUGAAACUGGCAGUCUUGAGUACAGUAGAGGUGGGCGGAAUUCGUGGUGUAGCGGUGAAAUGCUUAGAUAUCACGAAGAACUCCGAUUGCGAAGGCAGUUCACUGGACUGCAACUGACACUGAGGCUCGAAAGUGUGGGUAUCAAACAGGAUUAGAUACCCGAGUAGUC
Molecule: ribosomal RNA, 460 nt
Filed under: uncultured bacterium
Lineage: Bacteria
Description: partial 16S ribosomal RNA
Rfam family: Bacterial small subunit ribosomal RNA
Source: RNAcentral